Molecule: long non-coding RNA, 617 nt
Organism: Oncorhynchus gorbuscha (pink salmon)
Lineage: Eukaryota; Metazoa; Chordata; Actinopteri; Salmoniformes; Salmonidae
Exons: 4
Source: RefSeq, a predicted model, not a curated record
GCUGGUUUCAUUGUAUUUUCUUUCUGCAUUCCAGACCCCAGUAAUUGUAACAAAAUGAACACCUGAAACAACGACAGAAUUGACAGAAACCUCAUACCGGCUCUAGUGCUCCGAUGUAGGUCUGUUCCAGUGCCGUCUGACAGGGCAGGUGUUUCUCAUGGAGGGGGAGGUGCUGUACAAGGCUGUCCAAUGGGACGAGAAUCUCCUGCAUUCUACAGGCCGGACUCAUGCAGGAGCCCUGUUCAGACCCUCAGGGGUCUGUCCGUCAGCUACACCGCCCACACUGUGACAUUCCCUCUGGAGAUGGUCUUGGUUCCCUGUCUGUGGCCCACGUGACUGGUGACAGUGUGGAGGUUUUAUCGCCGCUGAGGGUGACUGACACACACACAGUGGUAAACACCAGCAACCUCUCCUUAUGGGGCCUUGUCAGCUAGUACAUACGGGAAGCUCUGCUCUCGAUCAAGGGGCAGGUGUUGCCUUUCCGAUCGCUCCAAUCAGUUAUCAAUGUGAUCGUCCUGCCAUCAUGUGCCACUUGAACAGGUUGAAGCGGCAACAGACAGGGAACACUUGCGUACAGCUCUGUUCGGGCUGCAUCCUCACUCGAGGGGAAACAUACA